This 333-nucleotide ribosomal RNA is filed under the name uncultured bacterium. RNAcentral describes it as "bacterial SSU rRNA". It matches the Rfam family "Bacterial small subunit ribosomal RNA", at positions 568 to 898 of the family's 1533-position model. The record is from RNAcentral.
UGCGUAGGUGGUCCGUUAAGUUCGUUGUGAAAUCCCUGGGCUCAACCCAGGAACUGCUUCGAAUACUGGCGGACUUGAGGCCAGUAGGGGUCACUAGAACUGACGGUGGAGCGGUGAAAUGCGUAGAUAUCGUCAGGAAUGCCGGUGGUGAAGACGGGUGACUGGGCUGGUUCUGACACUGAGGCACGAAAGCGUGGGGGAGCGAACGGGAUUAGAUACCCCGGUAGUCCACGCCCUAAACGAUGCAGACUAGAUUGCAGCGGGUCUUACCCCGUUGCGGUCGGAGCGAAAUUGUUAAGUCUGCCACCUGGGAAGUACGGUCGCAAGGCUAAA